RNAcentral lists this ribosomal RNA (25 nucleotides) under uncultured Thelephoraceae. RNAcentral describes it as "partial 28S ribosomal RNA". Lineage: Eukaryota; Fungi; Basidiomycota; Agaricomycetes; Thelephorales; Thelephoraceae. The record is from RNAcentral.
AUCUCAAAUCAGGUAGGGCUACCCG